Molecule: ribosomal RNA, 330 nt
Filed under: uncultured bacterium
Lineage: Bacteria
Description: bacterial SSU rRNA
Rfam family: Bacterial small subunit ribosomal RNA
Source: RNAcentral
CGCGUAGGUGGUUGUGUAAGUCAGAUGUGAAAUCCCCCGGCUCAACUGGGGAACUGCAUUUGAUACUGCAUGACUCGAGUGCAGCAGAGGGAAACGGAAUUCCUGGUGUAGAGGUGAAAUUCGUAGAUAUCAGGAGGAACACCGGUGGCGAAGGCGGUUUCCUGGGCUGACACUGACACUGAGGCGCGAAAGCGUGGGUAGCAAACAGGAUUAGAUACCCUGGUAGUCCACGCUGUAAACGGUGAAUACUGGGUGUGGGAGGUGUAAUGCCUUCUGUGCCGAAGCUAACGCGUUAAGUAUUCCGCCUGGGAGUACGGCCGCAAGGUUGAA